UUCUCUAAUUGUUAGUUGGCUUUGUUUUUGAUAAAGCUUGUCUUUCAUCCAUCUUUUCGUGUGUUCUUGAUUUGUGCUGUUGCAGGUGGAUUUUCAGGAGAUGCUUGUCCUGAAUUUAUCUCAUAAUAUGUUUGUGCCAUUGCUACAUAUCUUUACUGUGAGGUGUGAAGAAGGUGAAGAAAUUUGUUUUUACUGUGACUGAGGUAUUUAUGUCCUGCUAUCAUAAAUAGAUGCUAGUUUUUUUCUAUUUUUGAUGUUGAUUUGUGUGCAUUUGUUUCCUGAAGUUCACAUCUGGUUCUGAUUAUUGUUUAUUUGGUGGUUGGAACAUGCAAGGUCAGAAGAUCAAAGGAUGGUUAUACUUAUGUAAAAGCUACAUUUGGUACCAUUGCAGCUCCUGCUGUAGUAUUGCUUGACAUAAAAUUUGGUUUGUGCUGCUAUCUGUCUGUUAGUUUGGUUUGCAUUUCAUUUGGAGAAUGUUUUACUUCGGAAUUCUAGAUUAAAAAUUUUGAAUUAAUCAAAGUUCAACCACCAAAAAGGAUUAAUAGGCCUUUCUUUUGGUGCAUGUUCCCUGUGCUAUUUUCUUGGUUAUAAUUUCACAUCAGAAUAAGAGUAGCAUUCUGGUCUACAUCUCAUUUUCUGUUAUUAAUCUUUUCUUUUCUGAGAAAUUUUACAUGUUGAUUUAUUUUUCUUUUUUGGUUCUCUGUUUGAUUGAAGAAGUUACUUGUUUGAGAUUGUAUAUCUGUGGCUGAUAAAGGAGGGCAAUAUGCUGGUGUUAUCAUACAAGAUAAUCUGUGAAGUUUUUCAGAAAUAUGAUGUAUUAGGUAUUCCAGUCUGUAAGCAAUAAGAGAACAUUUUCUUCAGCAUAAUGCCUUGCUUCUUAGUGAGUAUGACAUCAUUUUAGAGGGCUGUUGGAAGGACAAAAUAAUUUAGUGACUAGUGAAUAGUGAUAGGUUUCAAUCCCGAUCUACCAUAAUUUGAAAGUAAAACGAGGCCUUGUUGGAGAUGGCAGAAGAUAAAGAAUUUUAGGGUUGCGAAAUUCUUAUUGCUGUUCCCAUUAAAUCUAAAGCUAUGAACAGACAAUCUGUCUAGUGUUUGUGUUCCCUUCUCCCUUCACAACGAUACUUGCCAAAUUAAACAGGACGAACUCCUUGUAUUAUCUGCAGCUGAGAUUUAACUCACUCUCAUCUGCUGGUUGAGACAAUUCUGUGGAAGGCACACAGUUCGUACUGCUAGUGGCCAUAGUUGCAGUUGUUGUGUGGUUUUAAGAAUACUUAGUGCAGCAGUUUCUGAAUGCAUGAGCGAUGCUUAUUCACUGUAUUCUGCAUUUGAUAUCAUCUAUAAUGCCUAUUCGCCUCCUGUAAUUCUCAAUCUUGAUUUAGGCUUUUUGUUUACCAGUUGGUUUCUGUUUUUUUCACACUUUUAUCAGUAAAAUUCCAAAAUUACUGAAUAUCAAAAAAGUCUGUAAACCUGCAAAUUUUGUUUUAUUCUGUUAGUUUUCUUGAUCUUAGGGCUAUGCUGGUGAGUAAUAAAGCGUUGACAAAAUCUGUCAAACAUGUAGCACAAACCAUAAUAAAUUGAUAAUAAAUUUCUGCUCUAAAAGCAUGAGAAAGAUGAAAAGAAGAGUUGGGGGAGAAAUGACAGAAAAAAGGGGACUAGAGAGGAUGCUGAAUCAACUUCCAAUCCUCUUGAACCUAGGAGAAGAGAAUGGUGGUCCACUUGAAUGUAGGAUAAGAGCUUGAGCAAUAUGUCCCCUGUUAGUCAACAGAAAGAGAGGAGUUCUAGCCCACAGCCCACUAGGACACCAUUUCAUCAUUUAUCUGUGCUUUAUAUCCUUGAAAAAGGUCAUCAAACACGAUAUUAAUAUGCUAGAGAGAUGAACAUUUUUCAGUUUUUCAUUUGACUAUAGUUGGAGAAGAGUUUCUUAUAACUUAUUAUUGUAAAGAAUGCUUUGUUUAAGACUAUUUAUAUUGUCAUUAUGAAUAUUGGUUACAUUUCACUAGUAAUAUGGCAACUCUAGUUUAUUAGAACUUGUUAUUGUAAAUAUUGCUUGGGUUAAGACCAUUUCAUAUUGCCAUUAUGAAUAUCGGUUACAUUUCACUAGUAAUAUGGCAACUCUACAAAUUAAAUGCUAUAAGUUAUAAACUUUAGGGUGCAGUGACACUGUGUUGGAGGUUUUGAAGGAAUGAAGAAUUGAUGUUUGUUCAUUUUAUGAUGUCCUAAGGGGCCUUUCUGUCGAAGCCUUACCGUGGAGUAUUUGGUGUGUGAAUGCCUCACUUUGGGUUUCUUUUGUUGUUUGGACUACAACUAGGGGAAGAUUCUCACAUAUGAUAAACUCAUAAGUGAGUUUAGAUGCUACCUGGGUGGUGUUGUAUGUGUUGAUGUAGCGGGGAGAUGGUGAAUCAUCUUUUGUUAUGUUGUAUUGUUGCAUUUGAUUUGUGGAGCUUUGUCCUUAGAUCAUUUGGGGUUUAGUGGGUAUUACUGGAAAAAGGGUAUAGAUCUCUUGCAUGGAUGGAGAAAUUGGGUUGGCAAGUACUUGUCGGAAGUAUGGAACUUAGUUACAUUAUGUUUGAUGAGGACAAUAUGGAGGGAAAAAAAUUGAUGUAUGUUUGAGAACACAGAAAGCACAGGGACUCAAUUGUUAGUUAAGUUUACUAGUUCUUUAUUUGAUUCGUCUGUACAUAAUAUUAUUUUUUCUGUAAUUCUUUUGGCUUCUUACUGCCUUUUGUGCAUAAAGUAGUCAUGAUGGAGGCAACAAGAGGCUUGCAAAAAGCAAGCCUCUUGGCCCAAAUAUUCAACAGAUUGUAUGAAUUUUAUUAGCUCACAUUUGAACAUUCAUGUCUUGUGCUGCAUUUGUGAAGGAGGAAAUGCUUGGAAUUUUGAAGAUCACGAAUCAUCAUCAGCAUGGAUGUUGAUGUUUCUUUCUCUAUAUUUGUAUGCGUGGAUGGUUAAAUGCCCUUUACCAAUUUACUGGAUUUCCUCUUACUUCUGAAUUUUAGGAUCUAGCUCUUUCUAAAUAUAACCAGGUGUUACUCUUGUAUUUACAGUUAUCUUUACUUGUGCCUUUUAUUUUAAUUAUUCAUAUUUGCCUUCAUUUUGCUUUUGAAGUGCAUGAUUAUAUAAAUGGGAAUUUGUCUUCCACAUGCUGGAUGGAUUUGCUGUUGGGGAGAAUGGAGGAAUCAUGAUCUGCUUCAUUAUCUUCUCUUUGUGCUUUGCUUUGAGGCUAUGUCUAGUUUGAAGGUGAAUUUUGGGUAAAGAAUGAGAUGGUUUCAGUGGGGGAGGUUGGUGGAAGAUGAUAUGGCUGGUACUCUGGGUUGAAAGGUGAAAUGUUGCCUACAUUUUAGGUUGUAUUGCCACUAAGGUUCUUGUAUAAAUAUAGGGCAGUGGUUGAUUGAUAACGAGAUGGCUGGAAUUUUGGGUUGUAAAGGUAGCUUCUUUGGCUACAUAUUAUUUGAGAUUUUCGUGAA
This is a long non-coding RNA of Quercus robur (English oak), 3464 nucleotides long. RefSeq lists it as uncharacterized. The transcript is spliced from 2 exons. NCBI's taxonomy places the organism in Eukaryota, Viridiplantae, Streptophyta, Magnoliopsida, Fagales, Fagaceae. The record is from RefSeq and is a predicted model, not a curated record.